This 159-nucleotide ribosomal RNA is filed under the name Hennediella kunzeana. RNAcentral's name for it is "5.8S ribosomal RNA". It matches the Rfam family "5.8S ribosomal RNA". Rfam says of the family: 5.8S ribosomal RNA (5.8S rRNA) is a component of the large subunit of the eukaryotic ribosome. It is transcribed by RNA polymerase I as part of the 45S precursor that also contains 18S and 28S rRNA. Lineage: Eukaryota; Viridiplantae; Streptophyta; Bryopsida; Pottiales; Pottiaceae. The record is from RNAcentral.
AAACAACUCUCAACAACGGAUAUCUUGGCUCUUGCAACGAUGAACAACGCAGCGAAAUGCGAUACGUAAUGUGAAUUGCAAAAUUCCGAGAAUCAUCGAGUCUUUGAACGCAAGUUGCGCCCGAGGCUUGACCCAGGGCAUUUGUGCCAGAGCGUCACC